Molecule: long non-coding RNA, 1007 nt
Filed under: Equus caballus (horse)
Lineage: Eukaryota; Metazoa; Chordata; Mammalia; Perissodactyla; Equidae
Description: lncRNA (ENSECAG00000050997.1)
Source: RNAcentral
CCUGAAUCAGAUCAUGGGGCAGCUGGGAGGGGGAAUGUCAAGGACAUCGGGAAGGACAUUGAAGCCGGGGAGUUGAGUGGGUAGCCUCAACCAGGGAGGCCAGAUGGAGCAAAGGAGUCAUGGGAGGCUGAGAAGAAGACCCCGGAGAUCUGGAGAGCUCAUGCCACAUCUUGAAGGACCAGCCAGGAUGCACUCCGCUUCCUUCAAAUUACCCCGACCCCUGUGACUUGAGUUUGCCCCCACUGGCCUGCAGAUAAGGAAACUGGGGCCCAGAGAGGUGAUGCGAUGCGAGCAGGGAAUGCAACUACUCCCUCAGCCUUGGCUGAACACCGUGCCUACCCCAGGCGAGAAGAUUGUCUUCUUCCACUUGGCUCCCUCUACUCUGCUCCUCAGCUUAAGAGGUUUACAGAGGAGACAACCACAGCCCAAAGAGAUUAUCUGAGACGUUAUGACUCCAUGCUCCGCUCUCAGAGAAGUCAAAGCCCAUGAUUUUCGAGGAUGCCUUCCAUCUGUGGGGAACACAAGGAUCCCAUGCAGGAAACAAUGAGAGAACAGCACAACAUGCACAGUACCACCCCAGGAGGGCCUGCUGUGUUGGCUGGACCAGGAUUGGACACCUGAACCAACUGGAGCUGAUCACAUUCUCCCACCCAGGACGUGGCACUAAGAGAGGCUCGUUCAGUCUGAGUCUGUCUCUUACACGGAGAUGAUGUAAACUAAGGAGCUAUAUGGUAGCCUUCUCUUGCUUACUAAGUAGACUGGGAAGCAUGAAAGUUCUGCAGAGAAAGAAGAAGGAACCAGAGACACUGGAUUAAGACAUCUGGGUUAGUUUUUUUGUUCCCAGUUGCAGCCCAUUUCUGAGGCGCAGUCUCAUUCCUUCCCGUAGGUAUGUCUUCCGCUUUCAACAGUUAUCCACUGAGCGCCCCUGUGCCAAACGUGAGGGUCUAAGCACUUGGUCUAAGUGGUGGAAAAAAAUAGACAUAAUCCCUGCCCUCAUAGAGUAUGUA